RNAcentral lists this ribosomal RNA (171 nucleotides) under uncultured bacterium. RNAcentral's name for it is "partial 16S ribosomal RNA". It matches the Rfam family "Bacterial small subunit ribosomal RNA", at positions 336 to 524 of the family's 1533-position model. The record is from RNAcentral.
CUCCUACGGGAGGCAGCAGUAGGGAAUCUUAGACAAUGGGGGAAACCCUGAUCUAGCCAUGCCGCGUGUGUGAUGAAGGCCUUAGGGUCGUAAAGCACUUUCGCCAGAGAUGAUAAUGACAGUACCUGGUAAAGAAACCCCGGCUAACUCCGUGCCAGCAGCCGCGGUAAU